RNAcentral lists this ribosomal RNA (139 nucleotides) under Plantago ovata (blond plantain). RNAcentral describes it as "partial 18S ribosomal RNA". It matches the Rfam family "Eukaryotic small subunit ribosomal RNA", at positions 1685 to 1823 of the family's 1831-position model. The record is from RNAcentral. Lineage: Eukaryota; Viridiplantae; Streptophyta; Magnoliopsida; Lamiales; Plantaginaceae.
ACGAAUUCAUGGUCCGGUGAAGUGUCCGGGCGCAAUUGGGGCGGUUCGCUGCCCGCGAGUCGCGAGAAGUCCACUGAACCUUAUCAUUUAUUAGGAAGGAGAAGUCGUAACAAGGUUUCCGUAGGUGAACCUGCGGAAG